Molecule: ribosomal RNA, 253 nt
Filed under: uncultured bacterium
Lineage: Bacteria
Description: partial 16S ribosomal RNA
Rfam family: Bacterial small subunit ribosomal RNA
Source: RNAcentral
UACGUAGGAUGCAAGCGUUGUUCGGAAUUACUGGGCGUAAAGAGUACGUAGGCGGUUUGUUAAGUCUGAUAUUAAAGACUGGGGCUCAACCUCAGGAAUGUAUCGGAAACUGGCAGACUAGAGGACAAUAGAGGAAGUCGGAAUUCUCAGUGUAGCGGUGAAAUGCGUAGAUAUUGGGAAGAACACCAGUGGCGAAAGCGGACUUCUGGGUUGUUACUGACGCUGAGGUACGAAAGCGUGGGGAGCAAACGGG